Molecule: ribosomal RNA, 426 nt
Filed under: uncultured Pseudomonas sp.
Lineage: Bacteria; Pseudomonadati; Pseudomonadota; Gammaproteobacteria; Pseudomonadales; Pseudomonadaceae
Description: bacterial SSU rRNA
Rfam family: Bacterial small subunit ribosomal RNA
Source: RNAcentral
GGGGAAUAUUGGACAAUGGGCGAAAGCCUGAUCCAGCCAUGCCGCGUGUGUGAAGAAGGUCUUCGGAUUGUAAAGCACUUUAAGUUGGGCGGAAGGGUUGUAGAUUAAUACUCUGCAAUUUUGACGUUACCGACAGAAUAAGCACCGGCUAACUUCGUGCCAGCAGCCGCGGUAAUACGAAGGGUGCAAGCGUUAAUCGGAAUUACUGGGCGUAAAGCGCGCGUAGGUGGUUCGUUAAGUUGGAUGUGAAAGCCCCGGGCUCAACCUGGGAACUGCAUCCAAAACUGGCGAGCUAGAGUACGGUAGAGGGUGGUGGAAUUCCCGGUGUAGCAGUGAAAUGCGUAGAGAUCGGGAGGAACAUCAGUGGCGAAGGCGACUGCCUGGGCCAACACUGACACUGAGGCACGAAAGCGUGGGGAGCAAACA